CAGCCGCCGCGGGAAUACGAAGGGUGCAAGCGUUAAUCGGAACUACUGGGCGUAAAGCGUGCGUAGGCGGUUUGUUAAGUCUGUUGUGAAAUCCCCGGGCUCAACCUGGGAAUGGCAAUGGAUACUGGCAAGCUAGAGUGUGUCAGAGGAUGGUGGAAUUCCCGGUGUAGCGGUGAAAUGCGUAGAGAUCGGGAGGAACAUCAGUGGCGAAGGCGGCCAUCUGGGACAACACUGACGCUGAGGCACGAAAGCGUGGGGAGCAAACAGGAUUAGAUACCCCGGUAGUCCCUGUCUCUUAUAC
This 301-nucleotide ribosomal RNA is filed under the name uncultured bacterium. RNAcentral's name for it is "partial 16S ribosomal RNA". It matches the Rfam family "Bacterial small subunit ribosomal RNA", at positions 509 to 807 of the family's 1533-position model. The record is from RNAcentral.